RNAcentral lists this transfer RNA (76 nucleotides) under Azoarcus sp. RNAcentral's name for it is "tRNA-Thr". It matches the Rfam family "tRNA". Rfam says of the family: Transfer RNA (tRNA) molecules are approximately 80 nucleotides in length. Their secondary structure includes four short double-helical elements and three loops (D, anti-codon, and T loops). Lineage: Bacteria; Pseudomonadati; Pseudomonadota; Betaproteobacteria; Rhodocyclales; Zoogloeaceae. RNAcentral also lists the same sequence under 6 other names. The record is from RNAcentral.
GCCCUUGUAGCUCAGCCGGUAGAGCAGCGGUUUUGUAAACCGAAGGUCGCGGGUUCGAUUCCUGCCGGGGGCACCA